ACACACACACACACACACACACAGAUUUGCGCACAAAUAUCCCCCUCAAAGGUGCAUGUGAAUCAUAUGCUUCCUGGCUAUUUGAUUAUAAUUGUCAGUUAUUUUCAAUACUUUUUGUCUGUGUGUGUGUGCUGUGUGUGUGUGCCUGUGUGUGU
This is a non-coding RNA of Xyrichtys novacula (pearly razorfish), 155 nucleotides long. The record is from the annotation of a GenBank genome assembly. NCBI's taxonomy places the organism in Eukaryota, Metazoa, Chordata, Actinopteri, Labriformes, Labridae.